Molecule: long non-coding RNA, 529 nt
Organism: Nematostella vectensis (starlet sea anemone)
Lineage: Eukaryota; Metazoa; Cnidaria; Anthozoa; Actiniaria; Edwardsiidae
Exons: 3
Source: RefSeq, a predicted model, not a curated record
AAUAUGAAUUCUUACCUGUCGAAUAUUUUUUUUAUUUCGACUACUUUAUUUGGAUACAGAGAGCACAGAAUCUUGCACUGCAGCGAAGUGGGCAUCACUUCUGCCAUCAGUUAAAAAAACACUAGAUGUCACACAUCUUGUGAUUCAGAUAUGCGCGUUCUUGAGGAAGUCACGAUGCGAUUGAUGAAGAGAGUUGUGCUGAUUCUACUAAUCGUAGUUGGCUCGCUCCAGGCCGGGCGAGUGAUGGAUGGACGCAAAGAAUAUAACAAGGAUUUCCCUAUGGCCCACGAGUCUAUUCAGUUCAAUGGCGUAUGGUAUGACUGUCUCCCCCUGACGCACAAUGUGAGCACUACGAGUUCGUCAUUCUGCACCUGUCCUUUCUUGGCCUGUUCAGGGGGGGAAGACUGCACCUACUGCAGCCUUCACUGCUUCAUUGUAAACACAGAUUAUGACUAUCUUGACAUGAAAGACACGGACUGUGGCUGCCACUGGCACUAAAAAAAAGGCACAAUAUUCAACAAUUGCUGUG